Corapipo altera (White-ruffed manakin) is the source of this 2985-nucleotide long non-coding RNA. RefSeq lists it as uncharacterized. The record is from RefSeq and is a predicted model, not a curated record. Lineage: Eukaryota; Metazoa; Chordata; Aves; Passeriformes; Pipridae. The transcript is spliced from 4 exons.
AAAUGGAGGCAAGGAGGGCUUUAACAUUGUACCUUGUAAAAUUUAAAGAACUUAUCUGAAAAACUGUAUUUUGAAAAAAAAACAUAGGUAAAUAAGCUUGGUUUGAGGUAUUUCUCACCAGUAGUACUGGGAGAGUAUUAUAAGGAUUAGAGUUGGUACAGAUUCUUGCAGGGGCUAUACUGGAGAGGUAAGAGCAGGAUUCCUGUGGGAAUAGGGGUGGAAAACCAAACCACAAAAUCCAUUGUGGAAAUCCUUCUGAUGGAGUAAGGAAACUAUUUGAACUUUUGACAUGUGGCACAAAAGGAAGGAUACAGGUCUGCCUCCCUGAAAGAUGCUUAGCACCAAAGCUGUAGAGCCCCUGGCCGCUGUAAAAGACACUGGCCUUUACAGAACCCCAUCAAGCCCUUUAGAAAUGAGGCAAAACCUUUAGGACUGUGGUGCUUCCAAGGCUGCUACAAUCCUACUCCUUGCUCAGUACUGCAAAGAAGGAAAGUGAGUAAGCUAAUGCCUUUAAGCAACAGUUUCUGGGAGAUGAGAAAUGAGGUCAAUUGCCUUGUUUGCUUUGCAAUGUUACAAUUCAACACCCCAGUGCAAGUCUGAGUCAGGAUUCUUCAUCUGCUUUAAUUCAGCCAACCUAUUACAAUGGCUGAUUGUUUUCUUACAUUUUAACUGACUUUUCUGUUGUCUUCUAUUCAUAGGUGCAUUGGGCAAUGAAGGAAUAUCCAAUGGAAAUUACUCUGGAUGUCUCCAAUACGUGAGCCAGAAUUUGUUUAAAAGAAAAAAAGAAAUCUGAAGAAAUCACUCCUGGUGGUAACAUCUGACCUCUUCAUCCAAAAAGCAGCCUCCAUCUACUUCAAGAAGGUGCGAUGUGUCCAGGCUCAGAGGGCCCCCUCAAGUGCACUGUUCCUGCAGCCAGAAGUCUCAAUGCUGCACGGUCUGCAAUGCCAGAGAGACUGAGCUUUGGUCCCACCUCUGAAAUACUUCAUGCUGGACAGGUCCUCCCAAAGCAGUAGUCACACAAGAGAGAGAGAGAGCUACAAGUCCCAAGAGACCAGAGACUGAAGAACCUGAAUCGUCAAAUACAGUGUUUGAUCCCAACAUUUAUUUGCCUGGUUAGUUUCACUAGGAGGCCUAUGGAGGCUUCUACACUUCUAUUUUGGGGGCGAGGGAAUGAAAUGGAGAUCAAAAAGUAGAAAGGGUUUGGUAGAAACAAGGAGACUGCCAUCUAAAUUCACGUCCUUCUUUAUGUAAGAAGAAAUGAAAUGAGGAAGAAAUGCCCCAGAUGCUGCCUAUUUUCAGCGAGUCAACUCUGCUUCGUCUUCCUCUCCCAGAGAAAAAGAGAAGCAGAUUUUGUAACAAUUUCAACUUUGACAUUUUGGUCUUAAGUCAGCGAGACAUUUAAAUACCUGCUUUGUGAACAGAACUAUAUUGCUCGUUCCUCAGAACUUUGACUUGAAUUUUAGAACCUCUUUUCUAACAACAAAAUAAAUAAGAAAGAUACAUAAUACUCAGGAAGGUGGCAGGAUCCAAGAACAAAAUCUAAGUUCCCUUCUGCUGCAGUAAAUAUCUGAUAGGUUCAGAGUGUGCAGUCGGUGUAUGCAACAUCAGUGAUUUAACACUGCUGCAAGGAAAGAGUCAUCCUUGGUGCUGUGCUCAUGCCAGUAAGUAUAAAACCAUCCCCUUCCUACCUGGUCAAGGAAUUCAGAUGUGUAAAUGCCAGAUGGAGUCUUCUGUAGAGAACAAGUUCCUUCCUAGCUCAAAUUUAACUUUAUUCCUUGUCUUUAUUUUGAUGCAAACACAUUGUAUUCUCCCUUCAUUUUCCUAUGACGAUUUAAAGUGAAGGCAUCAAUCUGAUUGAAAAUGCAACUUGCAGUAUUUCCUAUUCCACACUGGGAAAGAUGAAAGCUCUUAACUUCUUGAAGGCAUCUCUCAAAUAUAAUUAAUAAACCUACUCUGGCCAGGACAGCAAGAUUUAAUCUCCAAGUAGCAAAGGUCAGUUUAGAGCAGGUGAAGAAUGGAGAUAAGGAGACAGGACUGUCAACUGCAAAGGCAGUUUGUGAGAAAAAAUAGCUGGAUAAAAUAUAAAGGAGUGCAAAUAUACGAAUGGAAAAACACUGUUUAUGCCAAAUAUCCAUAAUUUUGAAUGGUUACAAGAAUCUGCAAUUUUGGGUGGGGAAAAAAACCCAAACAUGUAUAACCUUGACCCUAAUGUUGAGCUCAAGUUAUUGCAUCUGCAUGAUUUUCCCCAAACAAAUCCAUCAUCUGCCCUGCUGGAGCACGUUGCUCCACAAUGCCCAGAAGCACAGUGGAUUGCCAAGAAGAGUUAUUAAAACAAAGGUUCCCAGGUUUUGUUUUUGUUUUUUACUAUUAUUGGUGGUUUUUUACAUUAUAGAAGAUUUAGGAUCUCCCUUCACUCUUGAGCUAUAAGAGAAGGAGGCCACUGUAAGCCUCUCUGUGGAGAGAGAGAAGGGAUAACUGCAUGACACUUCCCUUGAGAACCAAAACCAUCAAUUGCAAUAACUGAAAGCCCUGGGAGCAUCUACAACUAACAGUGAGGGAUCUGCAGUCAGAAAACACGUAAUUUUUGUUGUUUCUCUGUAUUUAUGAAUGAUUAAGGAAGAUCAAGAUUUUUUUUUUUUCACUGAUAUACUUCUUUCACUCUUGUGCAUCUGCUGACUGGAAGACAUUCAGUGAAUAUCAACACUUUUUUGAGCAGCAUUAGGUUAAAGAUGGAGAAUCUAAAGCCACACUGACAGAAAAAUUAGGUACCUAAUUUUCAUACAUUCUCCAUAAAACCAUUAUGUGGCUGAGUCCAGAAAGACUAAAAAAUUGCAGGGAGUGACCUCAACAUGGUACAAGGUUACGAGUGACAUAUUCCCCUCCCCCAAGACGUUUCAGAUUGCAGCAUGCUACAGAUUUGAAAUAUGGACAUGGAAAUACAAAUAAAAUACUAAAAUUAAAAAAUAUUGCUCUAUCACAAAAGUA